Molecule: ribosomal RNA, 423 nt
Filed under: uncultured bacterium
Lineage: Bacteria
Description: bacterial SSU rRNA
Rfam family: Bacterial small subunit ribosomal RNA
Source: RNAcentral
GACGAACGCUGGCGGCGUGCUUAACACAUGCAAGUCGAACGGUGAACCAGAGCUUGCUCUGGGGAUCAGUGGCGAACGGGUGAGUAACACGUGGGCAACCUGCCCCAGACUCUGGGAUAACCUCGGGAAACCGAUGCUAAUACCGGAUACGACCACUUCGGACAUCCGACGGUGGUGGAAAGUUUUUCGGUCUGGGAUGGGCCCGCGGCCUAUCAGCUAGUUGGUGGGGUAAUGGCCUACCAAGGCGACGACGGGUAGCCGGCCUGAGAGGGCGACCGGCCACACUGGAACUGAGACACGGUCCAGACUCCUACGGGAGGCAGCAGUGGGGAAUAUUGCACAAUGGGCGAAAGCCUGAUGCAGCGACGCCGCGUGAGGGACGACGGGCCUUCGGGUUGUAACCUCUUUCAGCAGGACGAAGCG